AUUGAACGCUGGCGGCAUGCUUUACACAUGCAAGUCGAACGGCAACACACCUUCAGGUUGUGCCGAGUGGCGACCGGUUGCGUAAUGCAUCGGAACGUACCCAGAGGUGCGGGUUAACGCGGCGAAAGCUAUGCUAAUACAGCCUGUGAUCUGAGGCUGCAAGCGGGGGAACGCACGGCAAUGUUUGACCUCGCGCGUUUGGAGCGGCCGAUGUCGGAUUAGCUAGUUGGCGGGGUAAAGGCCUACCAAGGCGACGAUCCGUAGCUGGUCUGAGAGGACGACCAGCCACACUGGGACUGAGACACGGCCCAGACUCCUACGGGAGGCAGCAGUGGGGAAUAUUGGACAAUGGGCGCAAGCCUGAUCCAGCAAUGCCGCGUGCGUGAAGAAGGCCUUCGGGUUGUAAAGCGCUUUUGGUAGGAACGAAAAGGUGUAGGUUAAUACCGCGCGGUAAUGACGGUACCUGAAGAAUAAGCACCGGCUAACUUCGUG
This 492-nucleotide ribosomal RNA is filed under the name uncultured bacterium. Its description in RNAcentral is "partial 16S ribosomal RNA". It matches the Rfam family "Bacterial small subunit ribosomal RNA", at positions 30 to 507 of the family's 1533-position model. The record is from RNAcentral.